RNAcentral lists this ribosomal RNA (196 nucleotides) under uncultured Eubacteriales bacterium. RNAcentral's name for it is "uncultured Clostridiales bacterium partial 16S ribosomal RNA". It matches the Rfam family "Bacterial small subunit ribosomal RNA", at positions 138 to 334 of the family's 1533-position model. The record is from RNAcentral. Lineage: Bacteria; Bacillati; Bacillota; Clostridia; Eubacteriales.
AAGGGAUAGCCUCGGGAAACCGGGAUUAAUACCAUAUGAUAUCUAUUAACCGCAUGGCCUAUAGAUUAAAGAAUUUCGGUGUAAGAUGAGCUCGCGUCCCAUUAAUUAGUUGGUGAGGGUAACGGCCCACCAAGAUAGCGAUGGGUAGCCGAUCUAAGAGGAUGACCGGCCACAUUGGAACUGAGAAACGGUACAA